CAGCCGCCGCGGGAACACGGAGGGUGCAAGCGUUAAUCGGAAUUACUGGGCGUAAAGGGAGCGUAGGCGGACAUUUAAGUCAGGGGUGAAAUCCCAGAGCUCAACUCUGGAACUGCCUUUGAUACUGGGUGUCUUGAGUGUGAUAGAGGUAUGUGGAACUCCGAGUGUAGAGGUGAAAUUCGUAGAUAUUCGGAAGAACACCAGUGGCGAAGGCGACAUACUGGAUCAUUACUGACGCUGAGGCUCGAAAGCGUGGGGAGCAAACAGGAUUAGAUACCCCCGUAGUCCCUGUCUCUUAUAC
Molecule: ribosomal RNA, 301 nt
Filed under: uncultured bacterium
Lineage: Bacteria
Description: partial 16S ribosomal RNA
Rfam family: Bacterial small subunit ribosomal RNA
Source: RNAcentral